AAUGUGCCAGGAUGCGCCGGCUCUCACCUUGCCCAGCUGCCGCUGAGAAAAACAAAGCACGAAGAGGGACCUGAAGUAUCUCCUUCUCGGAAGCCUGAUAAGGGACUGGAGUGGUGGCCAGAGCCGUGGACUCCAACAAGAGGAACAUUACAUGGCAUGUGGCAUGGGGGACCCCCAGGAGGCAAGGAGGCCUUCAGAAAGGAGUCUCCGGAGGCAGGCCAGCCGUGCAGACCCUGACAUUGGACACGCAGCCCAAGUUCUCCAUCUUUAUCCUGCAGAAAAACUGACGUAUUUCCGGAGGGUUCCAUCAGAGGGGCGGUGACAAGCUCGGACUGGCCUCCAGGAAGGGGUCCUGGGGUCCCUCCACGAACAGUCCAGACGUGAACGUACUUCAUCAAAGGGAAAGGGUCUGGGUUCAGGCCCCGGGGCCCGUGAGUUUGGCUGCAAAAUAAAUUGCCCGGACGAGAGAUUUUCAAGGCCGACCUUCCAUGUGGCUCAGAACGCUUACAUCCACCUGGGUCAAGGGGCCCCCUGCCCCCAAACUAGCCACCAGCUCCCCCUCCCCACCUCCGGAACCGGAGCCACCCCAAACUUCUUUGCUUGUUGUGAGAAAGUAGUUGCGGACCAUGAAGAAACGGAUGGGUGUGGCUUCCUUCCAAUAAAACUUUAUGUAUAAAAUGGG
This is a long non-coding RNA of Herpailurus yagouaroundi (jaguarundi), 682 nucleotides long. RefSeq lists it as uncharacterized. NCBI's taxonomy places the organism in Eukaryota, Metazoa, Chordata, Mammalia, Carnivora, Felidae. The record is from RefSeq and is a predicted model, not a curated record. The transcript has 4 exons.